GAGCGUAUAGCUCAACUGGCAGAGUGCAUGCUUAGCAUGCACGAGGUCUGGGUUCAAUCCCCAGUGCCUCCU
RNAcentral lists this transfer RNA (72 nucleotides) under Camelus bactrianus (Bactrian camel). It matches the Rfam family "tRNA". Rfam says of the family: Transfer RNA (tRNA) molecules are approximately 80 nucleotides in length. Their secondary structure includes four short double-helical elements and three loops (D, anti-codon, and T loops). Further hydrogen bonds mediate the characteristic L-shaped molecular structure. tRNAs have two regions of fundamental functional importance: the anti-codon, which is responsible for specific mRNA codon recognition, and the 3' end, to which the tRNAs corresponding amino acid is attached (by aminoacyl-tRNA synthetases). tRNAs cope with the degeneracy of the genetic code in two manners: having more than one tRNA (with a specific anti-codon) for a particular amino acid; and 'wobble' base-pairing, i.e. permitting non-standard base-pairing at the 3rd anti-codon position. RNAcentral also lists the same sequence under 2 other names. Lineage: Eukaryota; Metazoa; Chordata; Mammalia; Artiodactyla; Camelidae. The record is from Rfam by way of RNAcentral.